CGCGAAGAACCUUACCAAGGCUUGACAUACACCGGAAAGCAUCAGAGAUGGUGCCCCCCUUGUGGUCGGUGUACAGGUGGUGCAUGGCUGUCGUCAGCUCGUGUCGUGAGAUGUUGGGUUAAGUCCCGCAACGAGCGCAACCCUUGUCCCGUGUUGCCAGCAGGCCCUUGUGGUGCUGGGGACUCACGGGAGACCGCCGGGGUCAACUCGGAGGAAGGUGGGGACGACGUCAAGUCAUCAUGCCCCUUAUGUCUUGGGCUGCACACGUGCUACAAUGGCCGGUACAAUGAGSUGCGAUACCGCGAGGUGGAGCG
RNAcentral lists this ribosomal RNA (314 nucleotides) under Streptomyces sp. Its description in RNAcentral is "bacterial SSU rRNA". The record is from RNAcentral. Lineage: Bacteria; Bacillati; Actinomycetota; Actinomycetes; Kitasatosporales; Streptomycetaceae.